Molecule: long non-coding RNA, 657 nt
Filed under: Homo sapiens (human)
Lineage: Eukaryota; Metazoa; Chordata; Mammalia; Primates; Hominidae
Description: HSALNT0132762
Source: RNAcentral
UAUCUACCUAUGACCUGCAAACUCCCUGCUUCAAGUUGUCCCACCUCACUGGAUUGAACCAAUGUACAUCUUACACAUAUUGAUUGAUGUUUCACGUCUCCCUACAAUGUAUAAAAAAAACUGUGCCCCAACCACCUUGGGCACAUGUCAUCAGAACCUCCGAGGCUGUGUCACAGAUGCAGAAACUGAGGCUCCAAGAGCAGAAGUGACACCGAAGUCACCUAGCCCCAUCCCGGCUUAAGGAGGUUCCUUAGUAAUAUGUCGUUGAAUAAAUGAAUACAUGAGUGAAUGAAGAGAGGACUGAAGAAGCCACACAUGAGCCUAAAUGCAAGGAAAAAGAUGGACAGUGCUACCACUAACAGCCAUGAAAAAGAACAGUUUCUCCCCCUCCCCCUCCCCCUCUCCCGUCUCCCUCUCUUUCCACGGUCUCCCUCUCAUGCUGAGCCGAAGCUGGACUGUACUGCUGCCAUCUCGGCUCACUGCAACCUCCCUGCCUGAUUCUCCUGGCUCAGCCUGCCGAGUGCCUGCAAUUGCAAGCUCGCGCCUCCACGCCUGACUGGUUUUGGUGGAGACGGGGUUUCGCUGUGUUGGCCGGGCCGGUCUCCAGCCCCUGACCGCAAGUGAUCCGCCAGCCUUGGCCUCCCGAGGUGCCGGGAU